RNAcentral lists this non-coding RNA (96 nucleotides) under Palpitomonas bilix. The record is from RNAcentral.
GGAUGUACUUUGGGCAGGCGUGCCACUACUCUCUCGCCCCGGCACUCGAAUGUCAAAUAGGGUGGCAGCUGGGCUGCUUCGUGCACUUGGGCUUCA